Hemiscyllium ocellatum (epaulette shark) is the source of this 583-nucleotide long non-coding RNA. RefSeq lists it as uncharacterized. The transcript has 3 exons. The record is from RefSeq and is a predicted model, not a curated record. NCBI's taxonomy places the organism in Eukaryota, Metazoa, Chordata, Chondrichthyes, Orectolobiformes, Hemiscylliidae.
GAGACACGGAGCUGAAUUCUCCGGCAAGUAGCUGCGAUCGGCUUCAGAGAGCGGCGCUCAGAGCCGGUGUGUGGGAGCGUCGCUGGGAGAAAGGAGCGGACAGAAUUCACAAAUCUCGGAUAGAGGUACUCAUGGAGUUCCUGACUCAAUAGACUUGCCAACUGCUGGCUGGGACGAUGGUUGGUCAGCCGGAAAGACACAGUCAGGGAGGUCGGAGUCUUCAAUCAAUCCUGCUGCCAGGUACAAUGGUGAUCCUGUAAGAGACCAGUGCGGAAUGGGAUGUUAUAAAUCUCAGCUGAGGCUUGCGGCCUACCAUUACCUGGGAGUCACUAAGGGAGAGAAUCUGAGAGAGAGCAGCACAAAGCGGGAGAAUAUAAAUCAGCAGCGAGGGUCAAGGCCGACUGGGACUUGGAUCUGGAGAAACAGCAGAGCAGGAGGCUGGAAAUCAGCACCGAGUCACAGAGGGAGUGACCGUGGGAGGGAGCAACUUGGAGCAGGAGCUUGAGGCUGACUCACACCUGGGAGAAUAUAAAUCAGCACUGAGGAUCGAGGCCUCGCUGUACCUGGGAGUGACAGAGACGGU